AGCAGCAUCCAGAGAACAGUUCUCAGGAAGUGUGACAAAGUUUUAACGUUACAGAUAUAGUAAACGGUGGAUUUGUAGAAUAUCAUACACUCUGUAGUAUUCAAUUGUUGAAAGGGGGAAACAUUAUUAUACUCUUUUCAUAAAAUGUUUUUUAAAAAAAUCAAUCAGGUCUUUGGUAUCAACGGUUACACUUAUUGCAGUUGGUCAACCCAGCGCGAGACGGUUUCCGACCAAUGACGAGGCUGCAUUCAUUGCCCCCAAAGAAACGGUCUAACUGUCAAUUUUACUGACACCUAAAGCACAAUAAAGUUUUCCACUACGCUAUUAACUAGCUCUUUGUGUUUCGGUGUACAUUUGUUUAUAAAAAAGUAAGCCGUCUUAAAUUGAAAUGGCUGCUCUGGACUCAAACCCCAAAGACAAAGUUGAAGAAGAGGAAGAAGAAAAAAUAUAUCAGUUGAUUUAUAACAUGGACUCUACGGAUAACAUGGAGGAGGAAGAAGAGGUUUCAUCCAGCCCUGAGCAAACACCUGUGUAUUUGGAUAUUGAUAGCAGAAAGAGGCCACAUGCAGUUGCUAGUUCUACAAAGAGAGUAGACAUGGAUGCAUUGGACAGUAUCCUAGGGGUCCCAGUAUUGGAGGUGAACAUUGAUUCUUUAGAGGAGAAACCCUGGAGGAGAGCUGGUGCUGACAUCUCAGAUUACUUCAACUACGGCUUUGAUGAAGAAAGCUGGAAGGCCUACUGUAAGAAACAGGCCAAACACCGUGCAGCCCAUAGAAAGAAGGCCCACACUAAAAUUACGGUCCAGGAGGGGCACAAUAGACAUGGAAAAGAAGAGCCUUGUUGUUCUUAUUCCUGCUCGGACAGCCGAUCAGUACUAGCUCCCAGAGUGUCAAGUGCUGCCAUUGAGGUGACUGGAGGACAACCUGGAUCCAGCAGCAGGGUGAAAGUGUCUCCAAGUCUCAGUAAUGAAGAAGGCAAUACUCAGGUGGUUACUGAGAUGUCCCCCGAGGAGAAUAGAUUUACUUCUUUUCAACAGCCUCCUUCACUCAGUUUCACCCCUAUCUUUCCAUAUACCCCUCCACCACGUUUCCUCUUCCUACAAGAAGGCCCUUCUCUCUUCAACAUUGCUGCUUUGGACAGUGGACUUUCUAAAGGCUUUGAUGAUCCCUCAACUUCACUAUACCCAUAUUCAUCAGGUGUAUCAUCUGCAAUACCAGGGAGUAGGGCCUCAAGCGCUGAAAUGAUUGACACUGCCAAGGCCUGGGAAUGCCACAUAUGGCAGGAUAUGGAGGAAAAGUAUGACAAGGACAGCAACAGACACAAAGAACAUGGCCAUGAUAAAGACAGCAAAAGAGGCAGAGAUAGAGAAAGACAGAGCUGUCCUUCACACAACAGGUUUUGUUUUAGAUUUAGGAGGCACUAGUGCAGUGCCUGUUCAAAACGUUCCUGUUCGGAAAGGGCCGAUUUGUUUGGCCUCCAGCUGCUACUUCAACGCACAGAAAAAUUAAUACAGUUGGUUUGAGUGUCACUUCACAAUCACCACGGUCUCAGAACAUGUGAGACAUACUGGUUUUGAACUGCCUGUGGGAAGAGUUCUCUCAUGAGCCUGCACUCCACACUGCGCUUCCUUGGGUCCUCAGCAAUACACCCGCCGAGUGUGAAGUUGAUCGGAUGAACGGUUAUAGAGAAAAUCGAAUAUUGGCUGCCAGCUGAGGUAGAGAGAGAGAGAGAGAGAGAGCAAGAAAGCCAAAGCAAUAACCUUUUAAACAGUAAUGAAACUAAGACUAUUAUAACAUGUAAAACAUUAUGAUGUUGCUGUUUCUGUAUAGAUACAGAAACGACACCUGAUUGGUUGCUGUAUGUUGCAGCUGUGUGUCUGUGCGUCCGCCAUAUUGGAGAAGUCAAGAUCCGCUAGUAAACGAAUGCAGCACCAGAGACAGUUUAGAAAUUAGUAAUUUCCUGUAUCAGUGUCAUGUGAGUUUCGCCACUGCACUGCCCCUUUAGGAGACUAGCGGCAGGUCCUGAGUCUCUUUGUGUUGUUUUCAUAUUUUCAUUUUGUUGUUUUGAUAUAGAGCAUCUUUGGCAGUGCUGGUAUUUACGCCGGUAUUUGCGGCCCUCAUAUUGGAGAAGUCAAGAUCCACUAAAUGUUUUCUUUUAAUGCUAUCUUUAACAUUUCUCAUCCAAACAACUUCACACUCGACACUACACUUCCUUAGGUCCCCAGCAAUAUAAGUGUGAAGUAGAUCAGAUGAACGGUUGUCGAGAAAAGUGAAGAACAGACAAACACACACACAUACACACACACACAGAGAGACUCCUUCCUUUAUAGUUAUAAUUAUAGAUAUAACAUGAUCCAAAUUGUUUCUAGGAGAUAAAAUUGCCACUUUCCUUCUACCAUAGGCAAACAAGGGUACGGUAAAAUCUGCCAGUUUCUUGAUUUUCCCUAGCUGCUUUUGUGCCUGAUGCCACUUUUAUCCUGGCUUCAGGGUCUGUCUUAGGGUCUAUACAUUCUUCCACCCACAUCUGUUUUUAUUUUUCCUCUACCCUACAUACUUAGCCCUCAAUGUGAAAUACUUUCUGUUUUUAUGCCACAACUACACUCAUGAAACACAUUUAUUUACAGGGCCAAUCUUUGGGCCUGUACAUCCUCUUUUCCUUCCAUCAUGUGCCAUUAACAGCCAGCAACACUUGCUCACAAGCUGAGGUUAAAGCUCCCUUCUCAAGGGCAAUGGUUAUCUUUUACAAGAUAUGUUUGUUUCUCACAGCUGCAGUUUCCACUUUUUGACCUGAGCCCCCAAUUUUGUUCGAUUUUAUACUCAGCCUCCCACGGAAAUAUUGUCUUCUAAGAGAUUGGCUUCUGGCGAAAACUGAUUGGCAUCGGUGUCACAACAACAGUCCCCUCAAAAACAUAUUCAAUAAGAUAGCACAGUAUAAUGGACCAAAACAAACAAGGAAAAUACUGUAUUAGUGUAGGGAAAAAGUUUUGGUUACUAUCCUCCCAUAGUGAGACCAGAUAAACAGGGGUCGGGUUUUUAUGUGACAGAAAAUAAAGGUUUAGUUUUAUGAAAAUCUUUUUGAAACAAAAAUUUUUUGUUUCUUCAGUAAACAAUGCUGCCUCUUCACAUAAAUGUUGGUUUCCUUGUUGACAUGCAUGGAGAGAAAAACAAACAAAAUAAGUGCCUGAAAUUUUUGGCAUAGUGGGUGUACAGUUGCUCUUAGAUAACCUUCCACCAUGGGAUGUGUCAAAGUUACCAAAUAAGGUCACAUUAGUAGAAUAUACAUAUAAAUUGGCAGUAAUAUGUAAAUAUCAAGAAUGAUUAUGGCAGAAUGGAAUAGUACUUUUGAACAAGAGAGAAGAGACAGAGGGAGCAACAGAAAAGCCACAUUAGAUUACAUUAUGUUAUUUGGGUUAUAUUCUUGUUUUAAAAAUGCCAUUUUAUAAUCCUCAGAGAACAAACCCUUGCCUUUACAGAAAAACUGUCUUAUUGCUGACUCUAAAGCUCUGCCACACUAGCCCAGGUGGGUUUCUUUUGGCAAUCAAAUUCUCCACCAUAACCCAGCUAAAAUAAUAACAUCUCCUGCUCCAUGAGUCAUUCGACAUUUAAUCCUGCCUCCCCACUCCCGGCUGCUAUUUAUUUUUGUGGAUAUUACUUUCAUUUUAAUUGUGUCAAUCAUAAAUAGUGUUUCUUAUCUGUGGUAAGAUUCACUGAAUCAUGUUGGUUUCUCACAUAAGUGACUGUAAGGAUGAAGUGGACAAAAUUGCACAGCGGUAGGCCCGGGCAUCUCAUGAAAUCUGUGAUACUGGUCGCCCUGACAGGCCUGGGCACUAAUGAUGAAUAAAAUCAUGAAAUGUGAAAACAAAUCCUGAGGCUCCCAUGCUAUAAUAUACUCUAGUUCCUUGAACACUAUCUCCUUGGGAACCAUUUGUCAGUGUUCUUGGUGUUAUGUGAGGUGGUUGUUUCUGUGUUAAAGCUAAUGGCUUUGAGCAAGAACAAAUAUGGGCCUUGGGUCCUAAUCCCUGCUGCUAACAGAAG
Molecule: RNA transcript, 4034 nt
Organism: Thunnus maccoyii (southern bluefin tuna)
Lineage: Eukaryota; Metazoa; Chordata; Actinopteri; Scombriformes; Scombridae
Gene: fip1l1a
Gene name: FIP1 like 1a (S. cerevisiae)
Exons: 14
Source: RefSeq, a predicted model, not a curated record